CCACUGAUUUGUCCUUUAAGUAUUAUUAUUUGUAAUAAUGUCCCUCUCAGAAUAAAUUUUUAUUAUAUUCAUACCAAUUAAUUGAUUAUGACAUCAUGCCACGUGUAUCGUUGACACCUUUUUAAUCACCAUAAGUUAAACAAACAACUGGCACAUGUACUGUUGACACCUAUCUAAUCACCCAAGUCAGGACAAAACUACCUGUUA
Molecule: long non-coding RNA, 207 nt
Filed under: Mytilus galloprovincialis (Mediterranean mussel)
Lineage: Eukaryota; Metazoa; Mollusca; Bivalvia; Mytilida; Mytilidae
Source: RNAcentral